GAUGAAGAACGCAGCAAAAUGCGAUACUUGGUGUGAAUUGCAGAAUCCCGUGAACCAUCGAGUUUUUGAACGCAAGUUGCGCCCGAAGCCUUUUGGCCGAGGGCACGUCUGCCUGGGCGUCACGCAUCGCGUCGCCCCCCACAAAUUCUCCGUCAGGGGAGCUUGUGUUUCGGGGGCGGAUACUGGUCUCCCGUGCUCAUGGCGCGGUUGGCCGAAAUAGGAGUCCCUUCGAUGGACGCACGAACUAGUGGUGGUCGUAAAAACCCUCGUCUUUUGUUUCGUGCCGUUAGUCGCGAGGGAAGCUCUUCAAAAACCCCAACGCGUCGUCGACCGCGACCCCAGGUCAGGCGGGACUACCCGCUGAGUUUAAGCAUAUCAAUAAGCGGAGGA
This 390-nucleotide unclassified non-coding RNA is filed under the name soil metagenome. RNAcentral describes it as "partial contains 5.8S ribosomal RNA, internal transcribed spacer 2, and large subunit ribosomal RNA". The stretch from base 1 to 122 matches the Rfam family "5.8S ribosomal RNA", at positions 35 to 154 of the family's 154-position model. The record is from RNAcentral.